This 328-nucleotide ribosomal RNA is filed under the name uncultured Glomeromycotina. RNAcentral describes it as "partial large subunit ribosomal RNA". The record is from RNAcentral. Lineage: Eukaryota; Fungi; Glomeromycota.
GCCUUUNGGGUGNGAUUCUGUGGAGNGUGAGGAGUUUAACNCCUUCAUGCNUACCUAUUCCUGGNCNUUGGGUGUACUUGCCCGUAUGGUUGGUUAACAUCAAUUUUGGUGGUCAUAAAAUGACUGGAGGAAUGUAGCUUCGAUCUCGUAUUGAAGUGUUAUAGCCUUCGGUAGAUGUGAUGAUCGAGAUUGAGGAUUGCAACGGAUACCCUUCGGGGCUACCUGUCUGAUCUCUGAUCGUUGCUCUGGUGCCGAAAGCUUGCUUACGGUUAUCAAAGUCGAUGGUCAAUAGGUUAGAACGGGUUAAAUUCGUUAAGGAGUUGACGUA